UAGAACUGAAUAAGCAGCUCUCACACCAUAGC
Molecule: non-coding RNA, 32 nt
Filed under: Mus musculus (house mouse)
Lineage: Eukaryota; Metazoa; Chordata; Mammalia; Rodentia; Muridae
Source: RNAcentral